Molecule: ribosomal RNA, 361 nt
Filed under: uncultured bacterium
Lineage: Bacteria
Description: bacterial SSU rRNA
Rfam family: Bacterial small subunit ribosomal RNA
Source: RNAcentral
AAUGAACGCUGGCGGCGCGCCUAAUACAUGCAAGUCGAGCGAGAAGACGUAGCAAUACGUUUGUAAAGCGGCGAACGGGUGAGGAAUACAUGGGUAACCUACCCUCGAGUGGGGAAUAACUAGCCGAAAGGUUAGCUAAUACCGCGUACGCUCCUUGGACUUCGGUUCAGGGAGGAAAGCGAUACCGUGGUAUCGCGCUCUUGGUUGGGCUCAUGUCCUAUCAGCUUGUUGGUGAGGUAACGGCUCACCAAGGCUUCGACGGGUAGCUGGUCUGAGAGGACGAUCAGCCACACUGGCACUGCGACACGGGCCAGACUCCUACGGGAGGCAGCAGUAAGGAAUAUUGCGCAAUGGGCGAAAG